GACGAACGCUGGCGGCGUGCUUAACACAUGCAAGUCGAACGGUGAAGCGCCUUCCUUUUUGGUGGGUGUGGAUGAGUGGCGAACGGGUGAGUAACACGUGAGUAACCUGCCCCCUUCUUCUGGAUAACCGCAUGAAAGUGUGGCUAAUACGGGAUAUUCUGGGUCUGUCGCAUGAUGGGUCUGGGAAAGAUAUUGUUUCGGUGGGGGAUGGGCUCGCGGCCUAUCAGCUUGUUGGUGGGGUGAUGGCCUACCAAGGCGGUGACGGGUAGCCGGCCUGGGAGGGUGGACGGUCACACUGGGACUGAGACACGGCCACGACUCCUACGGGAGGCAGCCGUGGCUACUAUUGCACGCUGGGCGCAAGCCUGAUGCAGCGACGCCGCGUGAGGGAUGGAGGCCUGCGGGUUGUGAACCUCUUUCGCCAGUGAAGCAGGCCUGCCUCGUUUGUGGGUGGGUUGACGGUAGCUGGAUAAGAAGCGCCGGCUAACUACGUG
Molecule: ribosomal RNA, 494 nt
Filed under: uncultured bacterium
Lineage: Bacteria
Description: partial 16S ribosomal RNA
Rfam family: Bacterial small subunit ribosomal RNA
Source: RNAcentral